ACUAAAACAACUUUUUCAUUACUACCUUUAAAUACAAACCUAAAAAGCUAUUGCAAAAUGGGUGAGGAAUCGUCAAAUUCUAUCUUCGACAAAUAUUGAUUGUAUUACGUAUGUUGCUGUAGUUUUUUUUAUUUUUUUGUGUCGAUGCAAAACCCUAAAAGAUGCUAGCCCUGAUGUGAGAUGCAAUGUUUGAGAAGUCUGUUUUCCCUGUGUAUCAGUGACAGGAUGUCAGAAAGGAGCAGAGUCAAACAGAGUAAAGACCUUCCAGCAGUUGACAGCAGAAAAGAAAACAUUCUAGGACGCCACAGACAGUGUACACUGCAGACAGCGUGACGGCAGACAGUGUAAACUAAAGGUGUCUGAACAUGAUUAGUCACAUCAUGGGCUGAGCUUUGGUAUGAUUGGGUUAACAUGAAAAGACAUGUUAAAUAUUUUGGGUUGGUGUUCGAAACGCAAAUGGAUCAGAGUUUUGGAAGAGGCAUAAUCCUCACAGAACAGGAAGUGUAUGAGUCAUGAAGUUUCCCCUCCGUUAUCUGCUUUCACACGCUCCGCAUCGCCUGCGACCAGAAACGUGCUGCUUGCGGCUGUUUCAUGCGCCCCCUCCCCUCCUGCCCUACCAGGACACAGACAAGGACACGUCAAAACAGGGACACAGGCAACUAUGACAUCCCUUCAACAGAUGAUCGUUACCGCCUCGAUUCUGUGGAAGAAGCAUGAGCUGUUCCUUGUCCUACACCUUACGAACACCACUUCAAAAUAUACUGUACGUACCAAAGUAUAUAUUUACUGCUUUUUUUCCACAGGUACACCCUUGCAUUUGUUUUAGGUUCAUGUUGUUAAAUUGUUUUAUUGUAACUUGUUCAACUACAUGCUCUUAUGGUUCUUCCCUUCUUCUCUGCUAAAUGAAUAAAUGUUCCCUUUGGGACUUAUUUAGUUUUUAAAAU
Molecule: long non-coding RNA, 944 nt
Organism: Hypomesus transpacificus
Lineage: Eukaryota; Metazoa; Chordata; Actinopteri; Osmeriformes; Osmeridae
Exons: 3
Source: RefSeq, a predicted model, not a curated record